This 464-nucleotide ribosomal RNA is filed under the name uncultured bacterium. Its description in RNAcentral is "partial 16S ribosomal RNA". It matches the Rfam family "Bacterial small subunit ribosomal RNA", at positions 339 to 795 of the family's 1533-position model. The record is from RNAcentral.
CUACGGGGCGCUCCAGUGGGGAAUAUUGGACAAUGGGGGCAACCCUGAUCCAGCGAUGCCGCGUGGGUGAAGAAGGCCUUCGGGUUGUAAAGCCCUUUAGGUUGGGAAGAAGGAUGAUAGUUUAAGAGAUAAUCAUCUUGACGGUACCAACAGAAUAAGCACCGGCAAACUCUGUGCCAGCAGCCGCGGUAAUACAGAGGGUGCAAGCGUUAAUCGGAGUGACUGGGCGUAAAGGGCGCGUAGGCGGUUUUGUGAGUGUGAUGUGAAAGCCCCGGGCUUAACCUGGGAAGUGCAUCGCAAACGAAAGAACUGGAGUAGAUGAGAGGGUGGCGGAAUUUCCGGUGUAGCGGUGAAAUGCGUAGAGAUCGGAAGGAACGUCAAUGGCGAAGGCAGCCACCUGGCAUCAUACUGACGCUGAGGCGCGAAAGCGUGGGGAUCGAACAGGAUUAGAUACCCCAGUAGUC